Molecule: non-coding RNA, 100 nt
Organism: Acanthosepion pharaonis
Lineage: Eukaryota; Metazoa; Mollusca; Cephalopoda; Sepiida; Sepiidae
Source: the annotation of a GenBank genome assembly
CAGCCACAUCACAUUGAAACACUAGCUCCCAUAUGGUCACUGAAGUUAAGCAACAUCAAGCCUGGUCAGUACCUAGAUGGGUGACCACUUGGGAAGUCCU